ACUGUGGUUCUAAUCAUACUUAGCAGAACUUCCCUCGGCAGCUGUAUCUACGUUGGCCUUCAGUGUGCUGUGAUGCAAAUGCACAGUAGCUGCCCAGACCAAGAAUUGGUCCAGAGAUCCUGACCUUGAACUCCUGCUAACCCUUAACAUUUUGUGUCUUUAUAUUUAAUGUUUCUUUUUCAAACAGCAUAUAGCUGGGUCAUUCUCCCUCCCCUCUCAUUCAUCCAGUCUAACACUUUUUGCCUUUUAAUUGGAGUCCAUUUACAUGUGAUGUUACAAGAGUGGGUUGAAGUUUACCAUGUUGCUACUUAUUUCUUCUUUGUUCCUUUGUUCCUCUUUCCCUGUCUUCUUUCAUGUUAACUGAGAAUAUUUUAUUUUUCUAUCAAAUAUCUUCAGUUAUUAGGAGAUAGAGACAAAACAAACCCUCCAAAAAACAAAGAAUCCUGGAGGUGGUUUUUUGAAAAACAAUGAACAAAAUAGACCACUAGAUAGGUUAAUAAAGAAGAAGAGAAAAGCAUCAAACAGACACAAUAAAAAAUGGUAAAGGGGAUAUCACCACUGACCCCACAGAAAUACAAACUACCAUCAGAGAAUACUAUAAACACUACUAUGCAAAUAAACUAGAAAAUCUAGAAGAAAUGGAUAAAUUCCUGGACUCAUACACCCUACCAAGACUAAGCCAGGAAGAAGUUGAAUCCCUGAAUAGACCAAUAACAAGCUGUGAAAUUGAGGCAGUAAUUAAUAGCCUACCAACCAAAAAAAGCCUAAGACCAGAUAGAUUCACAGCUGAAUUCCACCAGAAAUACAAAGAGGAGCUGGUACCACUCC
RNAcentral lists this long non-coding RNA (828 nucleotides) under Pan troglodytes (chimpanzee). RNAcentral's name for it is "long non-coding RNA NONPTRT013261". The record is from RNAcentral. Lineage: Eukaryota; Metazoa; Chordata; Mammalia; Primates; Hominidae.